AUGAGAAGAUCCUGCCAUGGAAAAGACAACUGGGUGGACAUAAAGUGGAAAGGAGGGAAAUAACUCACACCAUGCAGCAGGACACCUUCAGCUGGGGGGUAUUUGUAAUGCAGGUUUGAUAGUUAUAUUUUCAAUGAUGAAUGGUUAGCUGUUAUGUGACAAUUGGGUCAAAAAACUCUAUUUUAUCCCCUCCCAAAUUGAUAUAGAACCUUCGCAAAAACACAUGGGGCAACUGAAAAAGAAAUGGCUGAGGAUAUAUUCAAAAUGUCUGAGUUCAACAAAGCCAACAACUGCUUCAUGUGUGCCACUGAUAAAGAACCCUGGAUGUGGGCCAAAGACUGACUGGACAACGGUUCAGAGUGAAGAACACAAACUGGAAGUGAUGUCUUUGUUGUUGAAAAUGUAUGCUAUAUCCCAUCCACACUGAAGAGGCUCUGAAAUGUACAUCAACCAGGGAUAAAGAGAAAGUUAACACUGUGAAAUGUUUCAUACUUAAUUGAAGUUAAGUGUCUGUUGACAUGUUGGAAAAUAUUAAAGGUCUACAAUUUCUGUUAAAUUUGUCAAUAUUCAAUUUUUAUUCAUUGAUUUUCUGGCCACCAUUACUGUGGUUACAUGUUCAGUAUAUGUAUUGACCAGCAAGCCCACUGCAGCCUACCUCAACUCUCCAUCCCUGCUUUGGACAAUUCUUAGCAUGACUCUCGUAGUUUGCCCUUUUCCUUUAUGGUUGAUAUUAACGACGAAAGGAAAUAUUAUCUGUCCCUCUCCUAUUGUGUACCACUGUUAAAUA
Molecule: long non-coding RNA, 787 nt
Organism: Oncorhynchus gorbuscha (pink salmon)
Lineage: Eukaryota; Metazoa; Chordata; Actinopteri; Salmoniformes; Salmonidae
Exons: 3
Source: RefSeq, a predicted model, not a curated record